UGGGGAAUAUUGCACAAUGGAGGGAACUCUGAUGCAGCGACGCCGCGUGAACGAAGAAGGCUUUCGAGUCGUAUAGUUCUUUUAUAUGGGAAGAUAAUGACGGUACCAUAAGAAAAAGCCCCGGCUAACUACGUGCCAGCAGCCGCGGUAAUACGUAGGGGGCUAGCGUUGUCCGGAAUCACUGGGCGUAAAGGGUUCGCAGGCGGAAAUGCAAGUCAGGUGUAUAAGGCAGUAGCUUAACUACUGUAAGCAUUUGAAACUGCAUAUCUUGAGAAGAGUAGAGGUAAGUGGAAUUUUUAGUGUAGCGGUGAAAUGCGUAGAUAUUAAAAAGAAUACCGGUGGCGAAGGCGGCUUACUGGGCUCAUUCUGACGCUGAGGAACGAAAGCGUGGGUAGCAAACAGG
RNAcentral lists this ribosomal RNA (403 nucleotides) under bacterium. RNAcentral's name for it is "partial 16S ribosomal RNA". It matches the Rfam family "Bacterial small subunit ribosomal RNA", at positions 355 to 776 of the family's 1533-position model. The record is from RNAcentral.